This 98-nucleotide small nuclear RNA is filed under the name Suricata suricatta (meerkat). The record is from RNAcentral. Lineage: Eukaryota; Metazoa; Chordata; Mammalia; Carnivora; Herpestidae.
GGGAUGGCCCAUAUACUAAUAUUGGAAAGCAAAAGAAAAAAUCAGCAUGGCCUUUGGGCAGGUGUGACCUGCACAUUAAUGAAGUGCUCUAAAUUUUA